UCCUGGUUAGCUCAGUUAGUAGAGCGCUUUACUGGAAUUGGAGAGGUCCAUGGUUCGAUUCCAGGUCCGAGCG
Molecule: transfer RNA, 73 nt
Filed under: Ixodes scapularis (black-legged tick)
Lineage: Eukaryota; Metazoa; Arthropoda; Arachnida; Ixodida; Ixodidae
Rfam family: tRNA
About the family: Transfer RNA (tRNA) molecules are approximately 80 nucleotides in length.
Source: Rfam by way of RNAcentral